Molecule: ribosomal RNA, 253 nt
Filed under: uncultured bacterium
Lineage: Bacteria
Description: partial 16S ribosomal RNA
Rfam family: Bacterial small subunit ribosomal RNA
Source: RNAcentral
UACGUAGGUGGCGAGCGUUGUCCGGAUUUACUGGGCGUAAAGGGAGCGUAGGCGGACUUUUAAGUGAGAUGUGAAAUACUCGGGCUCAACUUGAGUGCUGCAUUUCAAACUGGAAGUCUAGAGUGCAGGAGAGGAGAGUGGAAUUCCUAGUAUAGCGGUGAAAUGCGUAGAGAUUAGGAAGAACACCAGUGGCGAAGGCGAUUCUCUGGACUGUAACUGACGCUGAGGCUCGAAAGCGUGGGGAGCAAACAGG